This 94-nucleotide transfer RNA is filed under the name Magnetospirillum gryphiswaldense. RNAcentral describes it as "tRNA-Ser". RNAcentral also lists the same sequence under 1 other name. Lineage: Bacteria; Pseudomonadati; Pseudomonadota; Alphaproteobacteria; Rhodospirillales; Rhodospirillaceae. The record is from RNAcentral.
CUGGUGGUUUGGGGAGGGUUGGCCCUGGCGCCGGAGGCGCCGGCGUUUUAACGAAUUAGCCGGAGGCGCCGGCGUUUAAUCCCCCAGCGCCAGC